UGGGGAAUUUUGGACAAUGGGCGAAAGCCUGAUCCAGCAAUGCCGCGUGUGUGAAGAAGGCCUUCGGGUUGUAAAGCACUUUUGUCCGGAAAGAAAUCCUUGGCUCUAAUACAGUCGGGGGAUGACGGUACCGGAAGAAUAAGCACCGGCUAACUACGUGCCAGCAGCCGCGGUAAUACGUAGGGUGCAAGCGUUAAUCGGAAUUACUGGGCGUAAAGCGUGCGCAGGCGGUUUGCUAAGACCGAUGUGAAAUCCCCGGGCUCAACCUGGGAACUGCAUUGGUGACUGGCAGGCUAGAGUAUGGCAGAGGGGGGUAGAAUUCCACGUGUAGCAGUGAAAUGCGUAGAGAUGUGGAGGAAUACCGAUGGCGAAGGCAGCCCCCUGGGCCAAUACUGACGCUCAUGCACGAAAGCGUGGGGAGCAAACAGGAUUAGAUACCCUGGUAGUCCACGCCCUAAAACGAUGUCAACUAGUUGUUGGGGAUUCAUUUCCUUAGUAACGUAGCUAACGCGUGAAGUUGACCGCCUGGGGAGUACGGUCGCAAGAUUAAAACUCAAAGGAAUUGACGGGGUCAUAGCUU
This 580-nucleotide ribosomal RNA is filed under the name uncultured bacterium. Its description in RNAcentral is "partial 16S ribosomal RNA". It matches the Rfam family "Bacterial small subunit ribosomal RNA", at positions 355 to 927 of the family's 1533-position model. The record is from RNAcentral.